Molecule: long non-coding RNA, 3724 nt
Filed under: Sus scrofa (pig)
Lineage: Eukaryota; Metazoa; Chordata; Mammalia; Artiodactyla; Suidae
Description: lncRNA (ENSSSCG00000056602.1)
Source: RNAcentral
AAAAAAGGAAUUUAGAGAGGAUCUGUGUAACAGGAAAAGUUCCCUUACCCUGGGAACCUCCCUUUACUAGCUAUGAGACCAGCCAGGACAAAAAGGGAGCUUCAGAGGCUCAGAGGAGAAUGCAGCAAUCAGCUUCAGCAAGCAAAACAGAGAUAUGCACAGAAUGUCCAGGCCACCUCACUGCAUGCCUCAGUUCUAGAUACAUGUCCAGUGAUGUGCUUGGGGACUGGAUGCUGAAACCUGGGCUUCAGCAGACAGACCUAGGGAAAGGACUGGGGUUGGUUACAUGGAGACAGCCCAAAGGGACUGGAGGGUAGCCCAGGUGCAUCAUAGAAGCCCCAUUCUCAGUGUGCUCAUAGAAGGCACAACUCUACCUCUCCAAGCUCUGGGAGCUGCAAGUGCCUGCAACUGCCAAAAACUGGAGGCCAGGUUGAAAUAUGAGCAGAUUCCCAGGGGCUGCAUGACUUCUAAAGCAGGACUGAAAUCUAAGCUAUGUCCAGUGGCUUUGCAACUUUGGCAAUUUUACACUGCCAGUGCCUUUGUGAGCAUACAGUCUGAAGGAUAUCAGAAUGGAUUAUUUGUGAGCUUACAGUCUGAGGGAUAUCAGAAUGGAUUAUUGGUGGUCUCAAGGUCUCCAAGUUAGCACCUUUGGGCUUUGGAGGCAAGAAUGUGGAGACGUGGCCAAGAUUUGCACUGGUGGCUCUGUGACCACCUGGGAAUUCAGGGUUGAUUGCUUGCAUUCCCAAGGCUGAUGAGAGGCAAAGGCAUUUUGUGGGCACCAUAACAGGUGACAGAUGACACAGAGCACACUUCCCAAUGGACAGCUCCUUCAGAGAAAUACUCAGUAGCUCCCUUCCCAGAAGAAGUGCUACAGUCUGGCAGACCCCACAACACACCUCAGAAACAGAUAUGGGACAUCUGCUCAAACAACUGGGGGGGUAGACCCUGCUCCCAACAGAGCUGUGACAGUCACAGAGCAAAGGGGAUCCCCCACUCAACCAACAGUAUAGGCUCUGGUCACCACACCAGUGACAUCUCCUAUCAAAGGGAUAAUAGCCAGCACCACUGAGGCAACAUGAGGGAGGUAUCCAUACUAAAAAAGAGCCCUAAAAAUAAAAAAAUUAGACUCACACAGGUCACAGAGGGGCACGCCUGCACAAAAACAAUCCUUCAAGGCCACAAUAGUUAACUGUUUUUCCUAAAUUCAUAGGGUUAUAGAAAUAUAAAAUGAUGUGGCAGAGGAACCCCUCCCAGUGAAAAGAAUAAGAGAAAUCCCUUGAAAGAAUAAACAAUGAAAUAGACCACUCCAAUCUACUAGAUACCAAGUUUAAAAAGGAGUUAAUAAAAAUACUAAAGGUAGUAAGAAAUGCUAUUAAUAGAAAUGCAUAUCAAUGUAAGGAGGAGCUAUAAACUAUAAAGAGGAAAUUAAAAUUUAAAAAGUCAUUUGGCAAGAUGAAAGCUGAAUUAAAGGCAAUAAAUAGAAAACUAAGUAAUACAGACUAAUGAAUAAGUGAUAUGGAAGGCAGAAUAAUGUAAAUCACCCAAAUAGAAAAGAAGACAGGAAGACAAUUAAAAAAAAAAAGAAAACAAUAUAUGAGUUCUAUAGGAUAAUAUUAAACAAGCCAAUCUACUUUUAAUAGGGAUCCCUGAAGGAGAAGAAAGAAAAUGGGGUAUCAAAAUGUACCUAAGAAAUUGUGGCUGAUAACUUUGCAAACCUAAAUGAAACAGAUACCCUGGUAAAGGAGGCACAGAGGGUUCCAAAAAAGAUGAACCCAAACAGAUUUACAUCAAGAUGUAUUAUAAGUAAAAUGGUAAAAAUUAAAGAUAAAAAGAGGAUUCUAAAGGCAGCAAGAUAAAAACAAAGAGAUAAUUACAAGGGAACCCCCAUAGGUUACCAGAUGAUUUCUCUAUAGAAACAUCUCUGGCAAGAAGGGAGUAGCAAGAUAUAUUCAAAGCUCCUAAAAGGGAAAAACUUGCAACCUAGGAUAUGCUACCCAGGAAGAUUAUAAUUCAGAAUAGAAGGAGAGAUAAAAGAAUUUCUCAGACAAGCAAAACUAAAAGAAUACAGCACUACUAAAUCUAUCCUAAAAGAAAUUCUGAAAGAUGUUCUGUGAAUAAAAAAGAAGCGAUAAUCUCUAAGAAAGAGCAAAUCACAAUUAGAAAACAAGUCAAAUAAGGCAGUGCAUAGAUUUAAAGGAAAAAAUUUUUUGACAACAAAGGUAAUUACAAUGAAUAGCUAAAUAUAAAUAUGAAGAUAUAAGAACAUCAAAAUCAUAAAAGGUGGGGGAGAAGAGUAAGAAAAUUAAUUUUUUAGAAUGUGUUUGACACUAUAUUACUAUAAGCCUAAAGCAAAUAGAUGUAGGAAUGGGUUAACAUAAAUCAGCAGAAAGGAGGAAAUGAUAAAAAAAUCAGAAAAAUAAAUAAAAACUAAGAUCCAGUUUUUUGAAAAAUUAAAGAAAACUAAGGAAACUCUGGCCAGGCUCACCAAGAAUUAAAAGAGGGAGGACCAAAUAAAAUAAGAAAUGAAAGAGGAGAAACAAUAGCCAAUACUGCAGAAAUACAAAAAAAGAAUGAAAGAAAAAGAAAAUAUGAUAAAGAAGUAUAUGACAACAAACUGGAUAACUCAGAAGAAAUGGACAAAUACUCCCAAGCUCAUUCCAUGAUACCAUCAUUCCCUGAUACCAAAACCAAAUAAGGAUAACACACAAAAAAGAAAAUUCCAGUGAUAUCACUGAUGAACAUAGGUAUAAAAAUCCUCAACAAAAUACUAGCAAACCAAAUCCAAAUAUAUAUUAAAAGGAUCAUACACCAUGAUCAAGUGGGAUUUAGCCCUGGGAUGCAAGGAUUCUUUAGUAUGAGCAAAUCAAUCAAUGUGAUACACCACAUCAACAAACUGAGGCAUAAAAACCAUAUGAUCAUUUUUAUAGAGCAGAAAAGGCUUUUGACAAAAUUCAACCCCAUUUCUGAAAAAAACUCCACAGACUGGGCAUAGAGGAAACCCUACCUUGACAUAAUAAAAGCUAUAUGUGAAAAACCCACAGCUAAUAUUCUCAAUUGUGAAAAACUGAAAACAUUUCAACUAAGAUCAGGAACAAGAAAAGGAUUCCACUUUCACCACCAUCAUUGAACACAGUUUUGGAAGUUCUAGCCACAGAAAUCAGAGAAGAAAAAGAAAUAAAAGGAAUCCAAUUUGGAAAAGAAGUAAAACUAUCACCGUUUGCAGAUUACAUGAUACUAUACCUAGAAAACCCUAAAGAUAGUACCAGAAAAUUUUUAAACUCAUCAAUGAAUUUGGCCAAGUUUCAGGAUACAAAAUUAAUAUGCAUAAAUACAUUUCAUUUCCAUACACUAACAAUGGAAGAUUAGAAAGAGAAAUCAGAGAAACCACCCCAUUUACUAUCACAUCAAAAAGAAUAAAAUACCUAAGAAUAAACCUACCUAAAGAGACAAAAGAGUUAUGCUCUGAAAACUAUAAAAUGUUGAUGAAAUAAAAAAAUGACACAAACAGAUGGAAAGAUAUACCAUGCUCUUGGAUUGGAAAAAUCAAUAUUGUCAAAAUGACUUUACUACUCAAGACAAUUUACAAUUGCAAUCCCUAUCAAAUUACCAAGAACAUUCAUUGCAAUCCCUAUCAAAUUACCAAGAACAUUCUUCACAGAACUAGACAGAUAUUUUAAAAUUUGUAUGGAAACACAAGAGACCCUGAAUAGCCAAAGCAAUAUUG